GCCAGGUGUGGUGGUGCACACCUGUAAUCCUAGCUACCCAGGAGGCUGAGGUAGGAGGAUCUCUUGAGCCCAGGAGUUUCAGGCUGCAGUGAGCUAUGAUUGCCCCACUGCACUUUAGCCUGGGUGACAAGGAGAGACCCUGUCUCUG
Macaca fascicularis (crab-eating macaque) is the source of this 148-nucleotide unclassified non-coding RNA. It matches the Rfam family "Metazoan signal recognition particle RNA". From Rfam's summary of the family: The signal recognition particle (SRP) is a universally conserved ribonucleoprotein. The record is from Ensembl. NCBI's taxonomy places the organism in Eukaryota, Metazoa, Chordata, Mammalia, Primates, Cercopithecidae.